Molecule: ribosomal RNA, 253 nt
Filed under: uncultured bacterium
Lineage: Bacteria
Description: partial 16S ribosomal RNA
Rfam family: Bacterial small subunit ribosomal RNA
Source: RNAcentral
UACGUAGGGGGCAAGCGUUGUCCGGAAUCAUUGGGCGUAAAGAGCGUGUAGGCGGCCCGAUAAGUCCGCCGUGAAAGUCCAGGGCUCAACCCUGGAAUGCCGGUGGAAACUGUCGGGCUGGAGUCCGGAAGAGGCGAGUGGAAUUCCUGGUGUAGCGGUGAAAUGCGCAGAUAUCAGGAGGAACACCUACGGCGAAGGCAGCUCGCUGGGACGGUACUGACGCUGAGACGCGAAAGCGUGGGGAGCAAACAGG